AGCCCUAAUGCGGUCCAUGUUUUCCAGCAUGCUGUGGGCCAUUCUCCUUCCACUUCUCUCUCACUGCUUAGGUGUCAGCUCUCAGCCUACACUGACCCAGCAGCCCUCAGAGUCUGUGGUGCUUGGAAAGACAGUGAGACUCUCGGCCCGUUUGAGCAGUGGCUAUGAGGGCUACGUUGUAUCAUGGUAUCAGCAGAGAGAGGGGCAAACUCUUCGGCUUCUGAUGUACAGUGACAGCAGCAGACCCAGUGGGAUCCCAGAUCGAUUCUCUGGUUCCAGAUCGGGCAGUGAUCGCUAUUUGACCAUCACUGGAGUGCAGCCAGAAGAUGAGGCGACAUAUUACUGUGGUGUAGAUCAUGGCAGUGGCAGUAGCUUUGUGUAA
Molecule: non-coding RNA, 382 nt
Organism: Eublepharis macularius
Lineage: Eukaryota; Metazoa; Chordata; Lepidosauria; Squamata; Eublepharidae
Source: the annotation of a RefSeq genome assembly